AAAAGAAGCUGUCAUCCACACCCACCUUCCCUGCACAAAGUUUGUUCACUGCGACGAAGAUUUGACAAAAUUUACGAAAAUCACUCUGCCCCAAUAAUUCUCCCCAAAAUCGGUCUCGCCGAUUCGAAUUCCUUCAACCCAGAACAUUUUUCGGCAGAUGAGAGUGGAAUUAAUGGCGGCGGAGAGCAGUAGUAGUCGGGGGAAAAAAGAGGCGGCGGCAGCAUUACCGAAUUCCCCUCCUCAAAACAACGACGUCGAAGAUCCCAUCAAAUCCCCUCCUCAUUCGCUCAACAAUUCCUCCGGCCGCAAUGUUUACUCUUCUAGCACUCAAUUUUCAUACUCUCUGUUUAUUUAAUCCAAAUUUUUUUUGGGGAUAUUUUCUACUGAUUCGUUGUUAUUGAAAUAGUUGAUUGCACGAAUUAAAGCUUGGUUAUCUCUUGACGGAAUUUUGGUAGAUUUUCUGUUAAGUACGAUGAAAUAUUGAUAUCGUCACAGAUUAAUCACUACCACCCAUGUGUUUUUGGAGACAGUAAAAUAAAAAUUAUUGGAUUAAGAGGAAAUAAAUUAAGGACUGGAUGUAAGGAAUUCUUCCAUUGGAUUGGAUUUUUUUUUCAGGGAAGGUGGGUG
Molecule: long non-coding RNA, 627 nt
Filed under: Erythranthe guttata (spotted monkey flower)
Lineage: Eukaryota; Viridiplantae; Streptophyta; Magnoliopsida; Lamiales; Phrymaceae
Description: long non-coding RNA (EGUT_LNC001909)
Source: RNAcentral